GGAUUAGAUACCCUGGUAGUCCACGCCGUAAACGAUGUCUACUAGUUGUCGGGAGACUUGAUCUUUUGGUAACGAAGCUAACGCGCUAAGUAGACCGCCUGGGGAGUACGGCCGCAAGGUUAAAACUCAAAUGAAUUGACGGGGGCCCGCACAAGCGGUGGAGCAUGUGGUUUAAUUCGAUGCAACGCGAAGAACCUUACCUACACUUGACAUGCUGAGAAGUUACUAGAGAUAGUUUCGUGCCUUCGGGAACUCAGACACAGGUGCUGCAUGGCUGUCGUCAGCUCGUGCUG
This 293-nucleotide ribosomal RNA is filed under the name uncultured bacterium. Its description in RNAcentral is "partial 16S ribosomal RNA". It matches the Rfam family "Bacterial small subunit ribosomal RNA", at positions 775 to 1067 of the family's 1533-position model. The record is from RNAcentral.